UAGCGGGUAUAACGAGCUCAGGGAAUGAAAUGUCAGUGGCAUAUAAAACAUAAUAUUCGCUCAAGAGUUCCAAUAAUUGAUCAAUUAAACCGUCCUGGUAGACCUUUGUUCUUAAGUAUGACGAAGAUGCACGCAACUCAACGUCAAAAUCCAAUGGCUUAAGCGUACUAGCUUUGGCUUUUCUUGACACAUAAGAAGAAUCCAAGACCUCGAAUAGCGAAGGUGCAAGAGGGAUAAACACACCAGUAUGGCGCGAUAAGUAAAUUAGACUUCGGAUGAUGUGAAAUCUCAUUGGAAAUAAUUGCGAUGACGGUGAACUCAUUAUAACUCCAAGGGCUAUUUGGACUAAAGGAUAGACCAAAGAUUGUAAUUCUGAAGCAACUCCCUUUUCUCUACUCAACCAGGCUGCUUGACUCAAUAAACGAGCCCAAAAGUCUAGAGAAUGCACAUAACUCCAGCUUUGAACAGGCUUUCGAGAAUCCUUACUAGGUUGAUGAAUGGUGUUACGAAGAGUAAUAGCAAGUUGUCGAAUGUAACGGAAUCCGAUUAAAUAACAUGAUUCAGCGUCCAAUAAAAAAAGAUUAACAGCACUAUUUUUCAGGAAAUUAAUUUUAUCGAGUGUAUGAACGGUAGUGUAAGCUGAUUGUCGAGCCAUACCAAGAUAAACCUCUUUUAAAACGAAUUCCAGCAGAGUUAUGUCAGCUGUCAAGCAUAAUGUACGAAGCAAUACAACAGCUGAAAACCGAACGCUGUCAUCACGAGUCGAACUCCAUACUUCAAC
Molecule: non-coding RNA, 781 nt
Organism: Schizosaccharomyces pombe (fission yeast)
Lineage: Eukaryota; Fungi; Ascomycota; Schizosaccharomycetes; Schizosaccharomycetales; Schizosaccharomycetaceae
Source: the annotation of a GenBank genome assembly